RNAcentral lists this ribosomal RNA (459 nucleotides) under uncultured bacterium. RNAcentral's name for it is "partial 16S ribosomal RNA". It matches the Rfam family "Bacterial small subunit ribosomal RNA", at positions 338 to 795 of the family's 1533-position model. The record is from RNAcentral.
CCUACGGGAGACAGCAGUGAGGAAUAUUGGUCAAUGGACGAGAGUCUGAACCAGCCAAGUAGCGUGAAGGAUGACUGCCCUAUGGGUUGUAAACUUCUUUUAUAUGGGAAUAAAAUGUUCCACGUGUGGGCUUUUGUAUGUACCAUAUGAAUAAGGAUCGGCUAACUCCGUGCCAGCAGCCGCGGUAAUACGGAGGAUGCGAGCGUUAUCCGGAUUUAUUGGGUUUAAAGGGUGCGUAGGCGGGCUGUUAAGUCAGCGGUAAAAGCCCGGGGCUCAACCCCGGCGAGCCGUUGAAACUGGCUGUCUUGAGAUGUCGAGAGGUAUGCGGAAUGCGCAGUGUAGCGGUGAAAUGCUUAGAUAUUGCGCAGAACUCCGAUUGCGAAGGCAGCAUACCGGCGGCGAUCUGACGCUGAGGCACGAAAGCGUGGGUAUCGAACAGGAUUAGAUACCCCUGUAGUC